This 454-nucleotide ribosomal RNA is filed under the name uncultured bacterium. RNAcentral's name for it is "bacterial SSU rRNA". It matches the Rfam family "Bacterial small subunit ribosomal RNA", at positions 330 to 801 of the family's 1533-position model. The record is from RNAcentral.
ACCGUACUCCUACGGGAGGCAGCAGUGGGGGAUCUUAGACAAUGGGGGCAACCCUGAUCUAGCCAUGCCGCGUGAGUGAUGAAGGCCUUCGGGUUGUAAAGCUCUUUCAGCUGGGAAGAUAAUGACGGUACCAGCAGAAGAAGCCCCGGCUAACUCCGUGCCAGCAGCCGCGGUAAUACGGAGGGGGCUAGCGUUGUUCGGAAUUACUGGGCGUAAAGCGCACGUAGGCGGACUGGAAAGUUGGAGGUGAAAUCCCAGGGCUCAACCUUGGAACUGCCUUCAAAACUAUCAGUCUGGAGUUCGAGAGAGGUGAGUGGAAUUCCGAGUGUAGGGGUGAAAUUCGUAGAUAUUCGGAGGAACACCAGUGGCGAAGGCGGCUCACUGGCUCGAUACUGACGCUGAGGUGCGAAAGUGUGGGGAGCAAACAGGAUUAGAAACCCUUGUAGUCCUUGAC